Molecule: ribosomal RNA, 842 nt
Filed under: Lepidocampa weberi
Lineage: Eukaryota; Metazoa; Arthropoda; Diplura; Rhabdura; Campodeidae
Description: eukaryotic LSU rRNA
Rfam family: Eukaryotic large subunit ribosomal RNA
Source: RNAcentral
UCUCAGCCUCUGGUCCUAGAGCAAUGUAGGUAAGGGAAGUCGGCAAAGUGGAUCCGUAACUUCGGGAGAAGGAUUGGCUCUAGAGGGUCGCGACGGUCGGGCGCGGGGCAGAAGCGGGAGUAGUCCGGAAGGCUGGCCUCAUGGUUGAGCUGGAAGGGCGCCCGUGGAUCCCCGUGCUAGUCGGCCGUGGUCGGGAAGCUGGGAUGGGGUGGCGCCGGGUCGGGGUUCGCGCCUCGCACCUCGGCCGUCGUUCCGCCUGGCGGACUGGCCCGUUGUGUCGGACGUCGACCGUCAUGAGGCGACCGCAUCAGAACUGGCACAGACCAGGGGAAUCCGACUGUUUAAUCGAAACAUAGCCUUGCGAGGGCCUUUGAGGGUGGUGACGCAAGGUGAUUUCUGCCCAGUGCUCUGAAUGUCAAGGUGAAGAAAUUCGGGGAAGCGCGGGUAAACGGCGGGAGUAACUAUGACUCUCUUAAGGUAGCCAAAUGCCUCGUCGCCUAAUUAGCGACGCGCAUGAAUGGAUUAACGAGAUUCCCUCUGUCCCUAUCUACUGUCUAGCGAACCCACAGCCAAGGGCACGGGCUUGGGAAGAUUGGCGGGGAAAGAAGACCCUGUUGAGCUUGACUCUAGUCUGGCGUGUGGGGAGUCGCGGGGGGCGUAGCGUAGGUGGGAGGCGGCUUGCCGUCGCAAUUGAAACACCACCACCCCCGCUGUCUCCUCGCUAACCCUGUGGAGCGGGUUACGGCCGACCCCUGUCCUGGUGGGGUCGGCGGCAUAGAGGGGGUCAAGGCGGCGCCGUCAAACCCGGCGUCGUCGACCCGAGCAGGGGAAGCCUUCAGGCG